RNAcentral lists this long non-coding RNA (3374 nucleotides) under Nicotiana tabacum (common tobacco). RNAcentral's name for it is "long non-coding RNA (NTAB_LNC010400)". The record is from RNAcentral. Lineage: Eukaryota; Viridiplantae; Streptophyta; Magnoliopsida; Solanales; Solanaceae.
AAACAUGCUAAUAUCAAAUCCAUUGAAGCAAAAUGUAUUUCAUUACAUUCAAAACAAAUACAACUGCUAAUUUAUUGUUUCAAAGUGUAAAUACAUGGGAGGAGGAAAAUCAUUUGAAUCCAAUACAUUUCAAGUCUAACAAGUUUCUUCAUUCCUUGAUCAUAUGGAAGUCUUCCAUAUGUGCCAAACGUACUUGCACAAGCUUAAAGAUCCAUUUGUGAACCGAAUUGGUGGGCUAGGUUGCAUUAGAUCAACUCCUCUUAUGCACCAGGAUAAGGAGCUACAUUUCACUAGAUCAACUUCUUAAAUUACACCAGCAUGAUACAAGUUUUGUGCAUGCUAUUAAUGCUUUUUUGAAAUCAGAUCUGAAAUUCAUACAUGAACAAGUAGCAUACUAAGUAUGACUAUAGUUCAGUGAAAUAUUGAUAAAAGAGUGACAAUUUGUUCACUAAAAGAGAAUUUGGCCAUAACAUUGAAGUUCCCAUGAUCCCUUCCGUUAGUUGCAUCAAUCCUUUUGUGCUUUAAUUAGGCUUGCAUGUCCAUGAUCUGCAGACAAAGUAUAUUGUCAUGAUCUUAACAGUGAAAAGCACUUUAAUCGAAAGAAAGCUUCCUCAAAAUUUUCGGUAUGAAUAUUAUCUAACAAAUGGAAACUUCACAAAUCAAAUACAUCAAGCUCAGCUUGCAUGACUUAAAUAUUAAUUGUUGCUUAGUAGCAAGCAGAUGCUUUACAUCCAUUGAACAUACUACAAUAUCAAUGAACUGCAACAUCACAAACAAAGUUUCUAGGUCAUGAAAACAUAUUUACUAUAAAAAAAAGCCAAUUUGAUGGAAGAGAAAAAUAAGAUUGAAUCUCAUCAAACAUAUGGAGAAUGAUCAAAAUAGCUAACCAACAAACUAAAAUUGAUAAGUAAAGGUAAUUUAUUAAUAAUAUCCUACUACCAAGAUGGUAUUAAGACAGUAUAAAAAUAAAGCUGAAUUAAUCCUUUCAUAUCAUACCACAAAAAGACAAAUACACAACAUAUUUACUAACUAUUCACUUAAGAAAAGCUAAAUUAAUCCUUUCAUAUCUUACCACAGAAAGACACUAAUGCAACAUAUCCACUGAAUUUUCAUAGAAAGUUUAUCUUGUUCUCACUUCUAAUAUUAGUAGUAAAGUUUAAAAGGAAUUCAUGGUGAAAUUAUUAAUUCUUAUGUUACUUCCAAGUGACAGUGUCUUCCUUUAAGUUUUGGUGGUACUUGCCUUUAAGUUUCGGUAGUACUUUCUUGUCACACGGGACUCAUAUGCGCACAAACCAAACAUACCCAAAAACACAAAAAAUGCACGAUAACUUACGAAAAUGCAAAUAUUAAUGUAGUUGAAAAGCAACUUAACAUGCUACAAACAUUAGCGAAUUAAUGUUUACCCUUUUCAAUUGAGGAAUUCUUCAACAAAAUAAUCUAACUAGACAUAAGAUAUAAUAAAUUACUCCUCCAUACUAGUUUAUGUAAUGCAAUUUGACUAGGCAUGGAGUUUAAGAAAGAAAGAAAGACUUCUGAAACUUGUAGUCUAAACUAAGUAAUAGAUAUUUUUGUGACUAUAUAUCAUCUCAUUAAGGGUAAAAUGGUAGGUUUAAAUUUAAAUUAUUUCUAAAUAUAAUAAGGUAUCAUUCUUUUUGAUACAGACUAAAAAGGAAAGUGCAUCACAUAAAUAGGGACAGACAGGGUUGGUUUUUACAAGCAGUUCCAGAUCUGCCACUUCAUAUUAAGAUAGAUCGAUAAAAUUUACUAAAAGAAUAUCUGCAAAACCUUGUACAUAGGCGUGAUAGCUACUACAUCCAUGACACUUGAAGAGCUAAUUCAACCGAACUCAACCAAGUGAAAAGCAUUUUAACCAAAUUAUCUUACAACUAAAAUUACUAUGCAUACUUUUAGACGUGAGAGAAUAUAGACCUGGCUUAUUACCGAUAAAUAGACUUAACAAUCAUUUGGACAUAUAAGUAUAAGCUUAUAGAAAAGCCAGAGUAACUCAUACAGCAAUAAGGAGGCAUCACUUUCUUAGGAAUCAAUAAUACUUGCGAUUUCGCAUCUCCGAAUUUCUACCAUUCUGGCUCAUACCAUGGCCUUCCGACACAAGGCUUGAAACUGAAAGAUAAUGAAAUAAACAAGUUUAAAUCUCACAUAUAGCCAAAGUACCAAAGGAAAACAUCUAAAAUUUCUAUCAAAUGAGUACAUAAGUCUCUGUACUCAUUCCAAUAUUUGGGUAAUACUCUCAUAUGUUCCAAAAUGCUCUACUUCCCUGUUUCUAAAACUCAGACUAAAUGACUUUAACUAAUAUGUUAAAAUGAAUAUUUUUGUCAUAUGAAAAUGAGGAUAACUACAACUAUAUAUUUUCUAAAUAUAAAAAAAUGUUAGUAACAUGUUAGAACAAUUGCUUUAAACGAUUUAGUUAUGAAAAUUAGACAAAUUGAGAGUAUACCAAUUAAACUAUGAGCCCCUACGGAUCUCUACAUGCAAUUCGCUCACUUCGGGAAGAGCGGACGGAAAGAGAAGGCCUUUGUUAUUUAUUUUUCAAAUUUAACGUUGAAGUGACCAACUUCAUUCCAAGUUUGAACUGAAAAAUAUUAUUUUGUUGAAAAACUAUAAUGAAAGAAAUUUACUAAUUUCCAAACAUCCUUCUUCUAGAGAAGACUUUUUAUGAGAAAGAACAUCACCACAAGGAAAUUUAGUUUACCUUACAAUAAUGUCAUGGUAACGUAAAAGGAAAAAUUGCUCCAACAAAAAAACUUCGUGAAAUACUAAUUGUAAUCUAUAUACAAAUGAUUCACCAUCACUGCUCUAUUUUCGUGUGGGAAAAUUCUCCUACAAUAAAAUGAAGGUAAUUAUUAGUAUACAAACUGUACUUACCAUGACCAAAUUAAAUGCAUAUUCAGCUUGUAUAUAUCAAAUUUGAAGAUUAUUUUUGACUUGUAGAUUUUAGAACGGCCAUCAACAACAAGAAAUCAAUACCUAAAGAAAAAGAGAUAGAAAUAGAGAGAGUAGAGAGAGAUUACCUGGUGAUAUUGGUUGGUGAUAGUGAGAGAAACGACGAUGAAGGAGAGGUUUACUUGUGGGUGAUGAUCAUGAGAGAGAUGAUGAAUCCAGAAACCCUAGUUCUUCUAUGGCUUAUCGUGACAUAGAGGAAUCCUUUUGCAAAUUGUGGGUGAAUAUGUGUGCGGUAGAAGAGGGAAUAUUUCAUUGAUGAAAUAAUUGGAGAGAAGUAAAAAUUAAUACACAAAGUUGCACUAAAUAUUUGGAGGGAGGUCAAAACUUAAAAUAAGUACUCUGUUGUACACAUUCUUUGCUGACCAUUAUUUUGAUUUGCCGCUAAACAAGCAUAAUUUACCCGCAAAUAUUCA